UACGAAGGGUGCAAGCGUUACUCGGAAUUACUGGGCGUAAAGCGUGCGUAGGUGGUGAGUUAAGUCUGAUGUGAAAGCCCCGGGCUCAACCUGGGAAUGGCCGUUGAAACUGGCGAACUGGAGUGUGGCAGAGGGGGGUGGAAUUCCGCGUGUAGCAGUGAAAUGCGUAGAUAUCGGGAGGAACACCUGUGGCGAAAGCGGCUCACUGGACCACAACUGACGCUGAGGCGCGAAAGCUAGGGGAGCAAACAGG
RNAcentral lists this ribosomal RNA (253 nucleotides) under uncultured bacterium. RNAcentral describes it as "partial 16S ribosomal RNA". It matches the Rfam family "Bacterial small subunit ribosomal RNA", at positions 524 to 776 of the family's 1533-position model. The record is from RNAcentral.